This 771-nucleotide ribosomal RNA is filed under the name uncultured Neocallimastigales. RNAcentral's name for it is "partial large subunit ribosomal RNA". It matches the Rfam family "Eukaryotic large subunit ribosomal RNA", at positions 26 to 637 of the family's 3401-position model. Lineage: Eukaryota; Fungi; Neocallimastigomycota; Neocallimastigomycetes; Neocallimastigales. The record is from RNAcentral.
CGCAUCUGUGCAUGCAGCAUAUCAAUAAGCGGAGGAAAAGAAACUAACAAGGAUUCCCUCAGUAACGGCGAGUGAAGCGGGAAGAGCUCAAAUUUGAAAUCUUGAAAGGUCACCUUACACGAAUUGUAGUUUAAAGAAGUGUUUUCUGUUACGAUCGUAAUAUAAGUUCUUUGGAAUAGGACAUCACAGAGGGUGAGAAUCCCGUCUAUGAUUGCGAUUUGUAGCUUUGUGAUACACUUUCAAAGAGUCGGGUUGUUUGGGAAUGCAGCCCAAAACGGGAGGUAAAUUUCUUCUAAGGCUAAAUAUUGGCGAGAGACCGAUAGCGAACAAGUACCGUGAGGGAAAGAUGAAAAGAACUUUGAAAAGAGAGUUAAAUAGUACGUGAAAUUGUCAAAAGGGAAGCGUUUAACACCAGUGUUGUUUUCUGAAAAUCAACCUCUGUUAGCUUUAUGCAUGUUUGUUUAGACCUAAUCAGCUAUCUUGCAUGUUCUAUUGUUUGCAGUGGUGCACUUUUCAGUUUACAGGUCAACAUCAGUUUUUUUUACCGUAAAAAAGUUAAAGAAAGGUAGCUCAUGGCUCCGGUCGUGAGUGUUAUAGUCUUUUUCCUAUGCGGUAGGAGAGACUGAGGUCUGCAGUGUAGGCUAUUUGGCUAGAUACUCAGGUGCUAUGUGAUACCAUUUCAUAAACAACUUGUUGAUUAUGUUUUGUCUAUUGCAUACUCGCUUGUACUAUCAUACCUACGCUUAGGAUGUUGACGAUCAGCUGAGCGCG